Molecule: ribosomal RNA, 254 nt
Filed under: Glomus sp. (unid)
Lineage: Eukaryota; Fungi; Glomeromycota; Glomeromycetes; Glomerales; Glomeraceae
Source: RNAcentral
CAGUCGUACCUUCGGGUAAUCAGCCUUUCGAGUGCGAUUCUGUGGAGUGUGAGGAGCUAAACACCUUCAUGCCUGCAUAUUCGUGCUCUUGGGUGUGCUUGCUCGUGUGGUUGGUUAACAUCAAUUUCGGACGCCAUAAAAUGGCUGGAGGAAUGUAGCUUCGAUCUCGUAUUGAAGUGUUAUAGACUCUGGUAGAUGUGACGAUUGGGGGCUGGAGGAUUGCGAACGGAUACCCGUUCGGGGCUACGUCGUCU